GACGAACGCUGGCGGCGUGCCUAAUACAUGCAAGUCGAGCGGACUUUCAAGAAGCUUGCUUUUUGAAAGUUAGCGGCGGACGGGUGAGUAGCACGUGGGCAACCUGCCUGCAAGACGGGGAUAACUCCGGGAAACCGGGGCUAAUACCGGAUAAUAUCUUCCUUCGCAUGAAGGAAGGUUGAAAGGCGGCGCAAGCUGCCGCUUGCAGAUGGGCCCGCGGCGCAUUAGCUAGUUGGUGAGGUAACGGCUCACCAAGGCGACGAUGCGUAGCCGACCUGAGAGGGUGAUCGGCCACACUGGGACUGAGACACGGCCCAGACUCCUACGGGAGGCAGCAGUAGGGAAUCUUCCGCAAUGGACGAAAGUCUGACGGAGCAACGCCGCGUGAGCGAAGAAGGUCUUCGGAUCGUAAAGCUCUGUUGUCAGGGAAGAACAAGUACCGUUCGAACAGGGCGGUACCUUGACGGUACCUGACCAGAAAGCCACGGCUAACUACGUG
This 499-nucleotide ribosomal RNA is filed under the name uncultured bacterium. RNAcentral's name for it is "partial 16S ribosomal RNA". It matches the Rfam family "Bacterial small subunit ribosomal RNA", at positions 28 to 507 of the family's 1533-position model. The record is from RNAcentral.